AGUAGCAGAUCUGACGGUACUAGAAGAAGAAGCACUGGCUAAUUCCGUGCCAGCAGCCGCGGUAAUACGGAAGGUGCAAGCGUUGUUCGGAUUGACUGGGCGUAAAGAGCGCGUAGGCGGGUUCGUAAGUUGGAUGUGAAAGCCCCGGGCUUAACCUGGGAACUGCAUCCAAAACUGCGAGUCUUGAAUGUCUGAGGGGUUGGCGGAAUUCCUGGUGUAGGAGUGAAAUCCGUAGAUAUCAGGAGGAAUACCAGAGGCGAAGGCGGCCGACUGGCAGUACAUUGACGCUGAUGCGCGAAAGCGUGGGUAGCAAACAGGAUUAGAUACCCUGGUAGUCCACGCCGUAAACGAUGGAUACUAGGUGUUUGGGGAGUUAACCCCCUGAGUACCAAAGCUAACGCAUUAAGUAUCCCGCCUGGGGAGUACGGUCGCAAGGCUAAAACUCAAAGGAAUUGACGG
Molecule: ribosomal RNA, 459 nt
Filed under: uncultured bacterium
Lineage: Bacteria
Description: bacterial SSU rRNA
Rfam family: Bacterial small subunit ribosomal RNA
Source: RNAcentral